ACAGCAGCCGCCGCGGGAAUACGGAGGGAGCUAGCAUUGUUCGGAAUUACUGGGCGUAAAGCGCGCGUAGGCGGUUACUCAAGUCAGAGGUGAAAGCCCGGGGCUCAACCCCGGAACUGCCUUUGAAACUAGGUGACUGGAAUCUUGGAGAGGUCAGUGGAAUUCCGAGUGUAGAGGUGAAAUUCGUAGAUAUUCGGAAGAACACCAGUGGCGAAGGCGACUGACUGGACAAGUAUUGACGCUGAGGUGCGAAAGCGUGGGGAGCAAACAGGAUUAGAUACCCGUGUAGUCCCUGUCUCUUAUAC
RNAcentral lists this ribosomal RNA (305 nucleotides) under uncultured bacterium. Its description in RNAcentral is "partial 16S ribosomal RNA". It matches the Rfam family "Bacterial small subunit ribosomal RNA", at positions 508 to 807 of the family's 1533-position model. The record is from RNAcentral.